GCUUCCGUAGCGCAGUCGGCAGCGCGUCAGUCUCAUAAUCUGAAGGUCGUGAGUUCGAGCCCCUCCGGGAGUA
This 73-nucleotide transfer RNA is filed under the name Necator americanus (New World hookworm). It matches the Rfam family "tRNA". From Rfam's summary of the family: Transfer RNA (tRNA) molecules are approximately 80 nucleotides in length. Their secondary structure includes four short double-helical elements and three loops (D, anti-codon, and T loops). Lineage: Eukaryota; Metazoa; Nematoda; Chromadorea; Rhabditida; Ancylostomatidae. The record is from Rfam by way of RNAcentral.